CAGUCAUAUUAUUACUAGAUAAUAGAUUGUCCUGUAAUUAUUAGAAAUAUAAUUGUCAUAUUCAUAGAAGUAAGGUGAUGAGUUAUGAGUGCCAAUGAGACAACUCUCCAUCCAAGUCACAAUUUAUAAAAGUAAGCCAUUAUAUGUCAAAGUACUGUCUCAACACGAAGCCUUGGCUCACACCAAACAGCAAGCUAUAAAGGCCCUCAAAAAAUUAUUAGUGAAAAACCAUCAAAACAGGAAAACCAACAAUCUUUAAAAAAAAAAUGAGAAACAAGAAACACUUAUGAACCACAACUACUGAACAUCAGAUUCCUGACUUAAGACAGGUGCAAACAAUUGCAGCAGGUUUAAAUGUUUUAAUGGUACCAUACCUUCACCC
This 382-nucleotide long non-coding RNA is filed under the name Mytilus galloprovincialis (Mediterranean mussel). The record is from RNAcentral. Lineage: Eukaryota; Metazoa; Mollusca; Bivalvia; Mytilida; Mytilidae.